UACAUAGGGAGCAAGCGUUAUCCGGAUUUAUUGGGUGUAAAGGGUGCGUAGACGGGAAAUUAAGUUAGUUGUGAAAUCCCUCGGCUUAACUGAGGAACUGCAACUAAAACUGAUUUUCUUGAGUACUGGAGAGGAAAGUGGAAUUCCUAGUGUAGCGGUGAAAUGCGUAGAUAUUAGGAGGAACACCAGUGGCGAAGGCGACUUUCUGGACAGUAACUGACGUUGAGGCACGAAGGCCAGGGGAGCGAAAGGG
This 253-nucleotide ribosomal RNA is filed under the name uncultured Eubacteriales bacterium. RNAcentral's name for it is "uncultured Clostridiales bacterium partial 16S ribosomal RNA". It matches the Rfam family "Bacterial small subunit ribosomal RNA", at positions 524 to 776 of the family's 1533-position model. The record is from RNAcentral. Lineage: Bacteria; Bacillati; Bacillota; Clostridia; Eubacteriales.